UCCAUAUCUCUCUACCGAGACGGAGCAACGCAGGGGGCUGCGGAGGCGCCGGCGGAGGUGAGACGAGGGCGAGACAGCGGCAGCGCAGCUGGCUGCGACGACGAAGGCGAGGGCGAGUGGAGAUUGAGCCAGAGUGGCGGCGGCACGGCUGGGCGCGGCGGCGACGGUGGAGGCAAGGAGGUGAUAAGCCACCGGAGAGGUUAGUCCGAGGUCGAACUUAGGGUUGGGGGGUGGGGGGAGGGUGUUCGGCGCCGGAGAAGAUGCAAGGUUCCCAGCUUAGAGGGGUGGCCAGGGCGGCGGUGGACCAGCGGUGGUGGCGGAUGGGGCAGGGCGGAGCGGCGAGGAGUCGCGGGAGCGCGCCGGCCGUGGGUGGCGGGAGACAACCGGUUGGGCCAGGGACAGCCGGCGGCUCUCUUCCUUCCUGUCGCGUGCCGGAUGCUCACGUGGUCGAAACGACCGCGGCGUUCACACCGGUCGGAAAUCGUCCGCCCGGCGUUGACAAAUUGAAGAGACAAUAUGUUAGUUGAUUUCAUUAUACUUCGGUUUUUCUUUGUGGCCUCGCGUCAACAAAUCGACUGAUAAAUAUACAACCAUAUGUAUUGUUCCUCGGUGACAAUUGGCAUACCUGUAUAGCGGCGGAGCUAUGUACAAACCAGGCACCAUCAUCCUAUGAAGUUUUCUUGAAAAUUACCUUGUUAAAUGUGUGGGUCCAAAUCCGACAACAUGACGCUAGACAGACGCAUAGAUGAACACGUACGUAGAAUGUGUGGGUCCAUGUCUGUCAAGUGGGAUAACUACGGUUCUGUGAUAGAUACAUCUGUCAAUGUGUUUUUGGGUUGAGCCGUUAGUCGCUUACGGUGUCCGCCUAUGGCCGUCGGUGACCAAGAUCCAUGGCAGAAAAUGUUGUACCAUCGCCGAUUCAUGCUGUCUUUGAUGGAACUUGAGACCGUCAGCCUGGAACUCAAACCUGAUGUUUUGAAGUCGCGGGGCUUCGUUUUCGGAUGUUGAUUCCUAAAUUUGUGAAAAAUCUGUCCACAAGGUUUUGAGACUUCAUGCAUGAUUUUUCAAAAUUCAGAUUAUUGAAAGUUGAUUCCAUAAUUUUGGACAGCUCGUCAAUCAUUUGUUGGAAGCUCGUGAAAUAUAUGUGUUGAAAGUUCUCAACACCCACCAGAACCUUCCUCAUAAAACCCUAAUCACAAGUACUUCGUGCGAGUGCUGCCAGGAUCUCUAUCACCUCUUCCCAAGCUGCCCACUUGCAAUGUAACUUUGGGACACGUUCCACAUCAACCCUGCGGGCCUGAGCUUCAAUGAGCUUUGGUUCUUUCCUCCCUGCAUGAUCUACCAAAGGAUAGUUGGCCUUCGAUACUUCUUGCCAUCCUUUGGUGGAUUUGGUAAUCUAGGAAUGCAAAGGUCUUCUAGAAUGAAGAUAAUCAUGUCCAUGGAGCGACUGAGAACUUGAUUCAUGGAGUUACUCUUUGGUCUUUUAGGUUGAAAUUCAAUUCUAAAAAAAUAGCAGCUGGUAUGUUAUGUGACGAUUUGUCAUCCUUGUUAUAAACUCUUUCACUUGAUUCUUAUUGUGAAGAGAGUUUCUGAAUGUUAGUGUUCAAAAUUCAGAAAGUUGAUUUUAUUUGUUUCUUUUGUCUUGUUCUCAAUUGAAAGGAGGAACGGAGAGAAGGGGGACCCGAUCAAUGGCCUCACGCGAGGGGUGCUUCCAACAGGUACUGAACCUGCCGAACUUAGCUCCCUAAGCAUCGAUUGAAUGUUUGGUUAUUUCUCGUGAGAAGAAGUUAUAUACAUGUAUGAAAGUUCGAGUAAGUGUUAGUUGUGAAAAUAGUUCGUUACCACAAAGGAUCACUUGACAAUAAUGGUGGUCUCUGAAUAACACAUCAAUAGCAAGCAACAAUUCAAUGUGAGAGGAAGAAAACUCAAAAUUCACACUAAAAGGAAGACAAAACAAACAUAGUCACAAGCACGCCUGUCUUCCUCCCUGUCUUUCGCUCCGAGUACAACAACAACACCCAAAAAGUUCGGAAAGCAAAACUAAUUCUCGUAGCCAGGAUCUCUUGGUGCAGAUGGAUUAACAAACAUGUGGAUCAGGCAAUGAAUUUUGUCACGGUUGGAUCACAUUGGAGAUGGAGCCGAAGGCGAGCUGUUGUUGUCCUGAUCCCGGU
RNAcentral lists this long non-coding RNA (2171 nucleotides) under Brachypodium distachyon (stiff brome). RNAcentral's name for it is "long non-coding RNA (BDIS_LNC004569)". Lineage: Eukaryota; Viridiplantae; Streptophyta; Magnoliopsida; Poales; Poaceae. The record is from RNAcentral.